This 769-nucleotide long non-coding RNA is filed under the name Ricinus communis (castor bean). Its description in RNAcentral is "long non-coding RNA (RCOM_LNC000541)". Lineage: Eukaryota; Viridiplantae; Streptophyta; Magnoliopsida; Malpighiales; Euphorbiaceae. The record is from RNAcentral.
AAGCUACAUAUGUUUCCAUGCUUUUACGUCGUUUGUGAUUCGUUGUCAUAGUAAUCACUUUUACUCUGAAAUCUACUUUUUUUUGGAAAAUGUUAGCUGUUUUUGUGUUUGUUUAAAGUGUCUGAUAUAUGUUUCUCAUUUAUAUGUAUUAUGCACAUAUGCAUCGGUUGAUAUUGAUAUAGCCCUGGCAUGACGGAUAAUGCUAAAUUCGAAGAUCACACGCCCUUAACAACUUGCCUGUUGGAUUCCUUUUUGCCUGAAUUUGACGAUUCUGGAGCUUUCCGUCGGUCAGGUGAUAGCUCUCUCUUGUGAUUUUCCUUAGCAUGUUGUGUACUAAUUUGGAGACUAGAAAUUUUACGAGAAAAGUGGUUGUUUUGAGCUCCUCUUUACAUGGGAAUGUAGAUUAUGUCUUCAAAAUUAUUCUUGUGGUAAUUAGUGUAGAUUCUGUCUUCAAAAUUAUUGCUGUAGUAAUUAAGCGUCAAUUUGUAAUUUCUUACACUAUUAAUUUCUAUCUUUCAAAAAAUAUCCCAGGCUUGCCUUUUGUGUUUGAAAAAAACUCGAGCUACCCCAGCAAUAUGCAGGAAAAUAGCGAAUACUUCAUCUGAAUUUGAGACUUGUAUCUCAGGUUAAUUAGGUUAUCUAAUUUUCAUUAUAGUCAAAUUUUGUUUGUCAUUGUUUUCUAGCAAAUAACCUGUGCGCUGAUAUAAAUUGAUUUAAUUAUAUAUGCUAGGCGAACCGGAACAGGCGAAAUAAUGCAGGAGAAAGGGGC